GACCUAACCCUUCGGGAUAAAUUCGGAAGGUAUGGUCGAAAGUCGCAUCGAGUACAAAGACCCCAUCAUCAGGGUCGCUCGAUGCGCCAUAUAGGGAAACCUGUAUGUGAGCCGCAAGGCUCU
This 123-nucleotide small RNA is filed under the name unclassified sequences. Its description in RNAcentral is "LOOT RNA". It matches the Rfam family "LOOT RNA". Rfam says of the family: Latescibacteria, OD1/Parcubacteria, OP11, TM7. Lineage (Microgenomates, aka OP11) The record is from Rfam by way of RNAcentral.